GAUGAAGAACGCAGCGAAAUGCGAUAAGUAAUGUGAAUUGCAGAAUUCAGUGAAUCAUCGAAUCUUUGAACGCACAUUGCGCCCCCUGGUAUUCCGGGGGGCAUGCCUGUUCGAGCGCCAUUUCACCACUCAAGCCUCGCUUGGUAUUGGGCAACGCGGUCCGCCGCGUGCCUCAAAUCGACCGGCUGGGUCUUCUGUCCCCUAAGCGUUGUGGAAACUAUUCGCUAAAGGGUGUUCGGGAGGCUACGCCGUAAAACAACCCCAUUUCUAAGGUUGACCUCGGAUCAGGUAGGGAUACCCGCUGAACUUAAGCAUAUCAAUAAGCGGA
This 328-nucleotide unclassified non-coding RNA is filed under the name soil metagenome. Its description in RNAcentral is "partial contains 5.8S ribosomal RNA, internal transcribed spacer 2, and large subunit ribosomal RNA". The stretch from base 1 to 120 matches the Rfam family "5.8S ribosomal RNA", at positions 35 to 154 of the family's 154-position model. The record is from RNAcentral.